AUGGAUCCAAAAAAUAACGUAUCAGAAAUCCACAUCUCAGAAAGAGAACAAAGUCAGAAAUCAGAUUUCCAGCCCAACAAGCAAAGGCCUCAUUUGUUACAUAACAUUAAUCAGAAUUUUGGUUUAAUCAUGGGCCUAACUCUAUCUAUGGAAAAUCACAAGCAAAGUUGGUUCACAAAAGACAAAAUUACAAGAGGUCUGAAUCAUAAUUGCAAACUCGGUAAAGUCCAGCAUCACAUUCACAGCAUAUCAGCCCAAGCAACAAACAAGAAAAAUUAG
Molecule: non-coding RNA, 279 nt
Organism: Vicia faba (fava bean)
Lineage: Eukaryota; Viridiplantae; Streptophyta; Magnoliopsida; Fabales; Fabaceae
Source: the annotation of a GenBank genome assembly